UACGGAGGGGGGCUAGCGUUGUUCGGAAUUACUGGGCGUAAAGCGCACGUAGGCGGCUUUGUAAGUUAGAGGUGAAAGCCCAGGGCUUAACCCUGGAAUUGCCUUUAAGACUGCAUCGCUAGAAUCGUGGAGAGGUGAGUGGAAUUCCGAGUGUAGAGGUGAAAUUCGUAGAUAUUCGGAAGAACACCAGUGGCGAAGGCGACUCACUGGACACGUAUUGACGCUGAGGUGCGAAAGCGUGGGGAGCAAACAG
RNAcentral lists this ribosomal RNA (253 nucleotides) under uncultured bacterium. RNAcentral describes it as "partial 16S ribosomal RNA". It matches the Rfam family "Bacterial small subunit ribosomal RNA", at positions 524 to 775 of the family's 1533-position model. The record is from RNAcentral.